RNAcentral lists this ribosomal RNA (301 nucleotides) under uncultured bacterium. Its description in RNAcentral is "partial 16S ribosomal RNA". It matches the Rfam family "Bacterial small subunit ribosomal RNA", at positions 509 to 808 of the family's 1533-position model. The record is from RNAcentral.
CAGUCGCCACGGUAAUACGUAGGUGGCAAGCGUUGUCCGGAAUUAUUGGGCGUAAAGCGCGCGCAGGCGGGUAGGUCAGUCUGUCUUAAAAGUUCGGGGCUUAACCCCGUGAUGGGAUGGAAACUGCCAAUCUAGAGUAUCGGAGAGGAAAGCGGAAUUCCUAGUGUAGCGGUGGAAUGCGUAGAUAUUAGGAAGAACACCAGUGGCGAAGGCGACUUUCUGGACUAAAACUGACGCUGAGGCACGAAAGUGUGGGUAGCAAACAGGAUUAGAUACCCCAGUAGUCCCUGUCUCUUAUACA